UACGUAGGGCGCAAGCGUUGUCCGGAAUUAUUGGGCGUAAAGAGCUCGUAGGUGGUUUGUUACGUCUGCUGUGAAAACCUAGGGCUUAACCCUGGGCCUGCAGUGGAUACGGGCAGACUAGAGGUAGGUAGGGGAGAAUGGAAUUCCCGGUGUAGCGGUGAAAUGCGCAGAUAUCAGGAGGAACACCUGUGGUGUAGACGGCUUUCUGGACCAUAGCUGACGCUGAGACACGAAAGCGUGGGUAGCAAACAGG
This 253-nucleotide ribosomal RNA is filed under the name uncultured bacterium. RNAcentral's name for it is "partial 16S ribosomal RNA". It matches the Rfam family "Bacterial small subunit ribosomal RNA", at positions 524 to 776 of the family's 1533-position model. The record is from RNAcentral.